This 77-nucleotide transfer RNA is filed under the name Desulfuromonadales bacterium. Its description in RNAcentral is "tRNA-Arg". It matches the Rfam family "tRNA". Rfam says of the family: Transfer RNA (tRNA) molecules are approximately 80 nucleotides in length. The record is from RNAcentral. Lineage: Bacteria; Pseudomonadati; Thermodesulfobacteriota; Desulfuromonadia; Desulfuromonadales.
GGGCGGUUAGCUCAGCUGGAUAGAGCGCAGGCCUCCGAAGCCUGAGGUCGGGAGUUCGAAUCUCCUGCCGCCCGCCA